AUGUUCUGCUUAUGGAAAACUGCUCCAGAAACGCAAACCUUGCACCUGAGAGUGCAGCAGCCUCACCUGCAGCCACCAGGAGGAAAUUCCUGCUGCACAUGGAGCUGCACAGCUGCCUGCAGGAGGGAGGAAAAAAAAAAUCCCUGUGCACUGGAAUAUAAUCUCAAGGGAAAGGAAAAUGGAAGGAAUGUGGAAGCAAAGAUUUGGGAUUUUACACGUGGAGGGCCUCUAAUUUGCAGCAAAUUGUCCAAGCCCUUCCCCUGGCUGAAGUGGAGAGUGCAGUCCAGAAGAACCAACCUGCCCAAGGUGGGAACCAAGCAGCAGAAGGCUGAUGGAGACCAGGAUCACACAACAAAAUUUCUCACACCAAAGUCAGCCAAGAAAAGGGAGUUGGAAACUUUUAUUUUUAAGGGGCAUCUUCCUAACCAGGGCAUUGGGGCUGAGAAUCUCCCUUACCUUUUGCACUGGAACAUCAUAGCUGGAAUCAAUAAUCAAUAUUUUUAG
Molecule: long non-coding RNA, 504 nt
Filed under: Cyanistes caeruleus (blue tit)
Lineage: Eukaryota; Metazoa; Chordata; Aves; Passeriformes; Paridae
Description: lncRNA (ENSCCEG00000015760.1)
Source: RNAcentral